RNAcentral lists this unclassified non-coding RNA (82 nucleotides) under Pseudomonas prosekii. The record is from RNAcentral. Lineage: Bacteria; Pseudomonadati; Pseudomonadota; Gammaproteobacteria; Pseudomonadales; Pseudomonadaceae.
GAGCAAGGCUUGCCCGCGAUGGCGUCGUGUCAGUCAGCAUCACCAUUGACUGAUCUACCGCCAUCGCGGGCAAGCCUCGCUC